RNAcentral lists this ribosomal RNA (871 nucleotides) under uncultured Mycobacteriales bacterium. Its description in RNAcentral is "bacterial SSU rRNA". It matches the Rfam family "Bacterial small subunit ribosomal RNA", at positions 30 to 914 of the family's 1533-position model. The record is from RNAcentral. Lineage: Bacteria; Bacillati; Actinomycetota; Actinomycetes; Mycobacteriales.
CGAACGCUGGCGGCGUGCUUAACACAUGCAAGUCGAGCGAUGAAGUUUCUUCGGAAAUGGAUUAGCGGCGAACGGGUGAGGAACACGUGAAGAAUCUGCCCUCCACUUUGGGAUAACACCGGGAAACCGGUGCUAAUACCGAAUAUUGAAACAUAAGUGGCAUCACUGAGUUUUGAAAGAAUUUCGGUGGAGGAUGACUUCGCGGCCUAUCAGCUAGUUGGUGAGGUAAUGGCUCACCAAGGCAACGACGGGUAGCCGGCCUGAGAGGGCGACCGGCCACACUGGGACUGAGACACGGCCCAGACUCCUACGGGAGGCAGCAGUGGGGAAUAUUGGGCAAUGGAGGAAACUCUGACCCAGCGACGCCGCGUGCGGGAUGAAGGCCUUCGGGUUGUAAACCGCUUUCAGUAGGGAAGAAGCGAAAGUGACGGUACCUACAAAAGAAGCACCGGCUAACUAUGUGCCAGCAGCCGCGGUAAUACAUAGGGUGCAAGCGUUGUCCGGAAUUAUUGGGCGUAAAGAGCUCGUAGGUCGUUUGUUACGUCGGAUGUGAAAACCUGAGGCUCAACCUCAGGCCUGCAUUCGAUACGGGCAAACUAGAGUUUGGUAGGGGAGACUGGAAUUCCUGGUGUAGCGGUGGAAUGCGCAGAUAUCAGGAGGAACACCAAUGGCGAAGGCAGGUCUCUGGGCCAAUACUGACACUGAGGAGCGAAAGUCUGGGGAGCGAACAGGAUUAGAUACCCUGGUAGUCCAGACCGUAAACGGUGGGCACUAGUUGUGGGAACCUUCCACGGUUUCUGCGACGCAGCUAACGCAUUAAGUGCCCCGCCUGGGGAGUACGAUCGCAAGAUUAAAACUCAAAGGAAUUGAC